UUUUUUUUUUUUGAAAGAGUCUUAUCUAUGUCAAUGACAUGUCUACAAUGUUAUAAGCCAUAUAAGCUAGCAUUUUAGGCAAAAAUACAAAAGAAAGCAAUUUUGUUCAUCAACUUCUAAUUUUGUAAUGCUCUUAAGAUUCUUUGUUUUUUUUUAGUCAUAGUAUGCUUUUAGGUUUAUAUUGUUAUCUUUAUAGGAAUCAAUUAGCUCAAAAGUAAUGUUUCCCUCUUCUAUACUAGACAAUCAAGUAGGAUAUUGUAACUCCUUCAUUACAUCAAAUAUUAUUUUUUAUGCAAUUGAAAUGCUAGCAAUGCAUAUGUCUUCAAAGAUAAAUAUCCAAAUAAUAAAUUCACUUGUACAUAUCUAUUGAGAUUGUAGCAUAUGUAGUUUCUAAUUGCAAGUAUCAAUACAAUAUUUUACAAUGUAUCUCAUUUGAUUGGACUUGAUAAAAGAUGUUUCAAAAUGGUUGUUGAUUGCAUUACAAUAAAUAUCUUACUUUAAUGUAUUACUACUUAGGAAAACAACACCCAUAGUAUGACACAUGAUCAUUCUAAAUUCAAAGGUGAUGUAUGCAUGCUUGCAUAUGCCUAAUCAUAUAUAAAAUCUACUUAUGAAUAAACACUACAUAAUUUCACUAAAUCACUUACACAAAGAUAAUCAAAUUUGACUUUCAAUAUAGAAAUCAUAAAAAAAUUAUUACUUAUAGUAUUUGAUUUUUUAUUCUUAUAAAUUAGUGCAUGUCUUGGCUACAUAAUUCUAAUAGUAGAGGCCUAGGUCCAAAAGCAUUGUCAUCUAUAAUUACAUGAUUUAUAAACACUAACAACCUGAUAGUCUAAAGAUUUGUGUAAAGUCAUGUAUUAGUACAUAUCAACAUCAAUGCUUGAUUCCGAACUUCAUGAAGUCUCCAACCUUGAUUUUGAUUCAAAUCUUAUUCUCAAUGGAAUUGCAUUGUACAUUUGCUUAAUUCAAGCACAUCAUGUGUUUGUCAAUCCAUAGAUGCAAAAUUAAUGAAUUGUAGAGUAAUGUGAAGCAUGUCCUUAAGGCUUAUAGCUACAAAUGUCAAAAACGGGGAAUCAAUUGAUAAGAUAGUUGGAAGUACUUUUUGGUUAAUGCAAUAGAAUCAAAACACAUGAUUUAAUACUAUCAAUAUUACAAAUGUAGCAAUAUUUAAACAAUUGUAUUAUCAUCCUACCACUACCUAAAAAGAAUUGCAAAAAAUGUUAUGAUUUAUUUUGAUGCAGAUUCAAUUAAUACUUACUUUUGUACAAACUUGCAACUAGGUCUAUCUUUAUUCAAAGCAUCAACCUAAGCUAGCAUGACACAGAAGAUGAUGUUUGAUCAUGAAUUCAAGCUUUGGUGGUAUUCAUUAGUAUGAUCAUUAAGCGGAAUUGCCAAUCAUACUUGUUCAUAUAUGAUACAUAAAUCAUUGUUGGUAAUAUCCAUUAAUAUGCAAUAUAAGAAUCAUUGGUAAUAAUAUAUGUUCAUAUACAAUGCAAGAUAUGCAUCAGAAAUUAUCAAAAGUAAGAGGAUAUUUAUAAUAUUUUAGGAUACUCCAAGGAUAAAUCUGAAAUUUUUUUAAGUUUUAAAGGUUAAAUUUUUAAUAUGAUAUACUUUUGAUAUUCUUUUAUUGUAUAUAAAAUCGUUAUUUAAAAAAAAGUAAAUAAAACAAAAUUACUAAAAAUAAUUAGGGUCUAAAAUUCUUGGUUAAUCACAAUUAGUUAUUUAGUGUGAAUUUUUUAUUAUAAAAUUAGAAUAAAAUUAAUAGCCAUAUAUGUUAUGUAGUAAAAUAUUUUUUUGUUAUUUUAUAUUAUAACAUUAAAAUUUAAAAUGCCAACUAGCUUUCAAACAUGCUCAAAACAAUUUAUUUGUUGACAUAUGUAAAUAUUUCUAAUAUUUGUUUUAAAUGUCUAGAAAAACAUUUAUGCCUUACAAAACUUUAUUCAAGAGUUCUCACAAUUUUUAUUAAAAUUCUGAAAUAUUUCUAUUUAAACUGUUUACAAUUGAUUCUUUAAAAUACUAUAUAAAACAUAUUGAUUAUAAAAAUAAUUCUAAAUCAGCUUUCACUCAAAUACAUUCAUAGAUAUUUUACUUAUUUUUGUCAUAAAUAUAGCCAAUUACUAUAUUUUUUUUCAUGUAAAAUAAAUUGCUACAUAAAGUAUUAUAUAUAUAUAUAUAUAUAUAUAUACACUCACACACAUAUUUUUUUUAUUCCUUUUAUUUUAUUAAACAUCAAUUAGAUCAUAGUAUGUUAUUAAGAAAACUUGUUUAAAAAGAAAAAACAACAGAAACAAGAAGUAAGUGUAUAAAAUACCAAAAUUAGACAUUUCUUUUAUAACACAUCCUACUUCUUAUGUUGUAUAAUUAUCAACUAAUAUUUAGAUAAAAUAUUUACUAUAAUUAUCAAUAUAUGAAUAACCAAGAGAUAUAUAUAUAUAUAUAUAUAUAUAUAUGUACAAUUUAGUAUUUUAAAUCAAUUUAAAAUGGUAUGAUUGUUAUUUGCUUUCUAUAUUAUAUCUAAACAUGUUUUAUGUUGGAUGUAACAACCUUGCUAAGCAUAGAUUAACUAUGUUUUAUUUUUAUAUUUUUGCAUUAGCUUAAGUAAAUUUUUUUCAUAAAAAAUAAAACGAUAAAAAAUGGAUAAUACACUCAUAAUACACUCAUAUACCAUCUUUUAUUACCACAACUCUUCUAGCCCUUUUGUCUCUUUCUUUGUAAACAUGAUUCUUGUUUAGUUUGUCUUCAUAGUUUCUACAUAUUUUUGCCAAUAUAUACAACAACAAUCAAACUAAAUAACAUUUGAUUAAUAAGUUGUUAGAACUUUGACAUAGAAGUAUUAGGCUAGUGCAUUAAAAAGAUCAAUGUUAAUUUAUACACAAAUAGACAAUAAGAAACCUGGAGAUUAUAAUUUUUAAGUUUUGAAAAGAUUCUUUGUAAUACUUGUAUUUCUAGAUACAAUAAUAUUUCAAGAUAUGUAUAUAUAGAUCAUAAAAUUGUGCUUACCCAAAUUCAAUCAACAAAGAUAUCUAUAUCUAUAUAUAUAUAUAUAUUUAUAUGUGUGUAUAUACAUAUGUAUAUGUAUAUUUUUCUUUUUAUGUUUUUGCUGACUGAAUAUUUAUAGGAAUCUUCUCAACAUCGAGAAGUAUUAAGUUUUGGUUAAUUAUCUUAGUCAUUUUGGUCAAUUUGUAGUUUUAAUCGUUGUGAUGUUAAGGUGAUGUGUACGACUUUUUGUAAUUAAAAAUAGGUAGAGCAGCUAUUAUCCUUAUUUUAUGCUGAAUGAUAACUAUGUCUUGAUGAAUGCGAAGUUUGUCUAGAUCAAUGUUCAUAAUCUCAACGUCAAUCUCAUUGUCAAGAAUACAGACUUCCUUACCUUCUUGCUCCGACAUAGAACGCUAAGGUGCACGAUUCUGUUAAAUUUGAUAUUUAGUGAAUUUAUAUGUGAUUGUGCAAUGGGAUAGUGAAUUGGUAUGUGCAGUUGAAAUUAUUCAACGUAUAUUCGCCUCGCUCUGACAUAGUGUAUACCAUACAGGUGUAGAAGAUUUUUCAACAUGUGUACAAAAAGAGUGCGAGUGUUAGAUAUUUUCAUUCACAUGGCAACUGGUAGAAUGAGACACAUUUGGGUUCACUAAAUAUUGUGUCUUAUGAUAAGGAAGGUUUGUGUCAUAAGAGAGUGAGCUUGCAAUGUGUAAGUGACAAUUGGUAGAACACGUGGAGAAAAAAAAAGUAAUACAUUGUAUGAAAGCAUGCUACUUCGUGAAAUAUUUUGAGUAUCCCGUUGGCAACAUCUUCCGCAGAACUGUGAGUUUCAAAUAUGUCAAUAUUUUACUCCCAGAGGAAGAUCAGCGUGUCAUUAUUUCACAAUGGAACGGAAUAAAAAUAGAUAGAAAACGAUACACUUGGGAAAUUCACAGUAUACAUUCAUGAAUACCCAUAGCCAGAAGACUGAGGUCUCGAAGUAUUGUUUCAGAAGUUUCAAAUCUUCGUAUAAGAGACACAUGAACAAUGUCCGAAAAAAGAACUCACAGGUAUCAUGUCGUUCCAGCGUUCUAAGUUUCACCUUAGAUAAAAUACAGAACGACUCUGCCAGAAAGAGCUAAAGCCCCGCCGGAAGUUCAUCCUACUACAGUGAGACCAAAAUCUUAAGACAUCCUUACAAGAAACAGAUCAGAACGAGCUCAAGGCAAAAAAAUAUCAGAGUACCACGGGUGGUUAUCCUACUUCAGGAACAGUGAAGGACGAUCCGUUGCUCUGCACUGCAGAAAGAGCACAAAAACAAACAAGUAACAAGAAACAAGUCGACAAACAUGUCGCCACUAACGCGACCUGCAGGCAGGUCCAGCGACCCCCGCAGAAAGGACAGUUAAAUCUCAAGUGGCUUUCCCCAGUGAACAGUUGCAUCUCUCCCGGCCCCAAACAGUAAAAUCCUUCAGUGUCUUUCCCUUCGGCAACCCCCUUGCAGUAGUCUUGUCACCAGUUAUCCGAUCCGAGACCCGCAGAUUUCCGAGCGCAGAGCGUCAUCCAUUCGUGAAUCCGGAAUGUUACUUAAACCACCAGAGGCUUCAACCACCUUUGACGGCUCUAAUAAUCGCUCUGGCGUUCGAUCCUCCAGUUCCCGGAACCCCCGCCACCUCCGCGACCUCCAUAACCACUGCCACCACCUCCGCGGCCUCCGUAACCACCACCGCCUCCACCCUCACGAUCUCCAUAGGACGGGCGACUUCCGUACCCACCACCACCACUCCCACCGUAGCUACCACCACCUCCACCAUAGCCGCCACCACCUUCACGGCGUCCACCACCGCCUCCUCCGUAGCCACCACCUCCACCGCCGCCUCCUCCACGGGACUGCGCUUGGUUCACAGUGAUGUUACGCCCGUCCAACUCCUUUCCAUUCAUUUCUUUAAUAGCUUCGUUCAUGGCGUUCUCGUCAGCAAACGUGAUGAAACCGAACCCGCGAGACCUUCCAGUUUCCCUGUCGGAGAUUACCUUGCUCUGAAUAACAUCUCCGAAAGGACGGAACGCUUGCUCCAAACGGUCGUCGGUGGUGGCCCAAGCCAGGCCCCCGACGAAGCACCUAAAUUCUUCUCCCAUCUUGAUAGUAUGAAGUGUUCGAAAAAAACGGACAAGUAACAAAGAGGCGCAGGGUGAACCCUGAAUGCCUCGGAGAUCAGAGAAAAGGAGACCAGAGUAGAGGCAAGAGAG
RNAcentral lists this long non-coding RNA (5199 nucleotides) under Physcomitrium patens. RNAcentral describes it as "long non-coding RNA (PPAT_LNC004587)". The record is from RNAcentral. Lineage: Eukaryota; Viridiplantae; Streptophyta; Bryopsida; Funariales; Funariaceae.